RNAcentral lists this ribosomal RNA (497 nucleotides) under uncultured bacterium. RNAcentral describes it as "partial 16S ribosomal RNA". It matches the Rfam family "Bacterial small subunit ribosomal RNA", at positions 28 to 507 of the family's 1533-position model. The record is from RNAcentral.
GAUGAACGCUGGCGGCGUGCCUAAUACAUGCAAGUCGAGCGAACAGACGAGGAGCUUGCUCCUCUGACGUUAGCGGCGGACGGGUGAGUAACACGUGGAUAACCUACCUAUAAGACUGGGAUAACUUCGGGAAACCGGAGCUAAUACCGGAUAAUAUAUUGAACCGCAUGGUUCAAUAGUGAAAGACGGUUUUGCUGUCACUUAUAGAUGGAUCCGCGCCGCAUUAGCUAGUUGGUAAGGUAACGGCUUACCAAGGCAACGAUGCGUAGCCGACCUGAGAGGGUGAUCGGCCACACUGGAACUGAGACACGGUCCAGACUCCUACGGGAGGCAGCAGUAGGGAAUCUUCCGCAAUGGGCGAAAGCCUGACGGAGCAACGCCGCGUGAGUGAUGAAGGUCUUCGGAUCGUAAAACUCUUUUAUUAGGGAAGAACAAAUGUGUAAGUAACUAUGCGCGUCUUGACGGUACCUAAACAGAAAGCCACGGCUAACUACGUG